GUCGAGAAUCUUUCGCAAUGCCCGCAAGGGUGACGAAGCGACGCCGCGUGUGGGAAGAAGGCCUUCGGGUUGUAAACCACUGUCGGGAGUUAAGAAAGGCGGGAGAGUGAAUAGCUUUCCUGUUUUGACGAAAGCUCCGGAGGAAGCCACGGCUAACUCUGUGCCAGCAGCCGCGGUAAUACAGAGGCGGCAAGCGUUGUUCGGAAUUAUUGGGCGUAAAGAGCACGUAGGCGGCCUUGCAAGUCAGUUGUGAAAGCCUUCCGCUUAACGGAAGAACGGCAUCUGAUACUACAGGGCUUGAGUACGGGAGGGGAGAGUGGAACUUCUGGUGGAGCGGUGAAAUGCGUAGAUAUCAGAAGGAACGCCGGCGGCGAAAGCGACUCUCUGGUCCGAAACUGACGCUGAGUGUGCGAAAGCUAGGGGAGCAAACGGGAUUAGAUACCCUAGUAGUCC
Molecule: ribosomal RNA, 453 nt
Filed under: uncultured bacterium
Lineage: Bacteria
Description: bacterial SSU rRNA
Rfam family: Bacterial small subunit ribosomal RNA
Source: RNAcentral